AAUAAAGGACCAUAAACACCCCUGCUUAGUCAUGAGAUUUAUAGAAGUGUCAAUAUAAAGAGUUUGAGACAUAUAUCGAACUAAAUAUUUGAGUGAAUAACAAGGCACUAGAGCGCGGCGUGUCGGACUAAUAGACAUGCUAGUAUGCUCCAAAUGGUAAUAGGGCUUUGGGAUUGAGGGUGAUCGGGAUUCUACAUAGUUUUGCAGAGUACAAUGAUCUCUCCAUAUGACUUCGUUGUUGCAAGAAUGACUACAGAUAGAGGAGCUAAUCAGCCUAUUGCCGAGUUAGCAGUGCAAGAGUAGCACACCGAUCUCAGAUCAUGGUCCACCACAAUAAUGGAUCUCCUCGCGGGUGUGCUCUGUAUAUUACAUCUUGCCGCGGGCACGAUGAAGUGUCAUGGGUGGUUGCCGCCAGGUACUGUGAAUCAGUACCGUUCGAAAAGAUGAACGUAAAUGUGUGGUGACCGCGAAUAGACAUCUAUUGCGUUGUUUCCUUAGAAGAAUGCUGGGGCUAACUCGCAACUCCUCUUGUUCAUCCUCACAUUUCCUCUCAAAACUCUUUCAAAAACAAGGAUGAACACAGAUAUUUGGCACCACCACUGCUUCAUAAGUCGUCCUUUUGUAUGUCAAUUUCUUCUUCUCGUCACUAAAAACAAACAUGCUUACAAGUUCUUAAUUUUUAAGAAGUAAACUCACACACACACGCACACACAGAGCUACGUGGCCACACAUAUGCCACUAACCAAUACAUGCA
This 754-nucleotide long non-coding RNA is filed under the name Hordeum vulgare. Its description in RNAcentral is "long non-coding RNA (HVUL_LNC008710)". The record is from RNAcentral. Lineage: Eukaryota; Viridiplantae; Streptophyta; Magnoliopsida; Poales; Poaceae.